CAAAAAUUCUGACUGACGCCUUGAAAAGUUUUUUCCGACCCGCAGUGCGCCAUUUCAUCGUGAUGAGCGCGGAUCACAUUCGUUUCCAUUGACUCGGAUUCUAGUUUUCGACUAAUUCUUUGGAUGGCAGUGUCCGUGAGCUGUCGGAAUUCCAACUCUCGUUCCAACGGCAGCUCAUUGACAUAACUCGCAACUCUACUGAGCGCAUCUACAUGCGCCAUCCUAUUACCUGAACGUAAGAUUGCCCCAAGACCCAAGCUGCUCGCAUCCGUAUGCAGCUCCGUGUCAGCGGUAGGGUCAUAUAAAGCAAGAACCGGCGAGGAGGUUUUGCAAAGGUUUUGCUUUCAAAGCAAAAUGUUCUAUGAAUUUGCGAAAAUAACUAGCUAACCCCAGGAAGUGUUGCACCUCGUGAAUAUUCGAAGGUCUUUUAAAAUUCUCGAUUGCCUCCGUAUGUCGCAGACUCAAAGUUAUCACAUUUGCCGAAAUUACAUACCCCAAAAAUUCUACUUCUCUUUUCAAAAAUUGGCAUUUCUUGUAAUUCACUUCGAAAUUAUAUUUUUUUAACGUACGCAAUACUUCGCUAAGAGUUUCUAAAUUCGCUUCAACAGUUUCAGACGGAUUAAAACGUCGUCUAUAUAAAUUAAUAUUUUAUCGGCUCGAAUGAGUGGCUCUAAAAUUUGUAUCACCCGUUUUUGAAAUUCAGCCGGCACUUCUGAGUAUCCGAACGGUAGUUGCGUGUAUUCAUAUUGUCCGUCUGGAGUCGCAAACGAAAAAUAUUGCAUCGACUCUUCGUGCACCUUAAUCUGGUGAAAACCAUCUUUAAGAUCUAACAGAGUGAACACCGAUUUAUUUGAUAAACGCGACAAGCAGUCUUCGAUGAUUGGAAACGGAUAUCUCUGCUUGAUCACUCGACUGUUCAAUGGUCUUAGGUCUACGCAAAGUCUAAUUUGACCGCUUCUCUUUCUCACCGGGAUCACUCUAGCGCAAUACGGCGAAAUACUCGGCCGAAUAAUUCCUCUCUUUAACAAAUCAUCGACAAUAUCUCGAAUUUGUAGGCGUUCCAUAUACGCGAAACGUCGAGGCGCAUAAGCAUAAACCGACUCAUCCUUUAGAUGCACUCGAACUACAUAUCCGUCAUCUAUCGUUUCAAUCUUUUCUUUUUCUAUCUCUAAGACUAGAUCUAUCAACUUGUUCUUCGCCUCAAAUCCGAAAUCCGCCGAUUGUUCAGACAAUAUUUGUUGCAAAUUCUCUACCGCGUCCUCCGUGACAUUGAGUGGUAGAUACUCGAAUAGAUUCACGCUGCACUGAUCAGAUUCGUCUGACGGCUCACAAUACCUGUACACCACGAUGAGCCGCUGCUCUUUAAUAAAUUCACGCCCGAGGAUUAACUCUCCGUCGAACGGUUCAUCAAAUGGCAGACACUUCCACAAACGGUCUCGUAAGCUCCAACCUCGGACUGUCCUCCUCGGCGACGACGGCUACCGUAUCCUCCGACGUUGACUCUCCGCGUACAAGCGCUGCUACCUGAGAGGCCACAGGUCGAGGCGACGAAGUUGCCCUCCCAUUGCUCCGGUUCUUAAGGGCCGGACAAUCGAAUUGCCUGUGCCCUCUCAUCUUGCAGUAGAAACAGAUACUGGUCUUUGAUCGAUGUCGGCACAGCCCUCAGUGAUGCUUCUCAUCCUGGCUAAGAAACCGUCCACCGUAUCAUUCGCCACUGUAAGGGCAAUCGCCCUUAACGCCGGUUGUGAUAUUCCGCCAAUCAGCAGAUGGAUAGCAUCUUUCACAGAUGCAGCUAACAAGGUCAUCCCGUCCGAGGCGCCGUGUAUAAGCGCGACCCUGUCUACUCUCCGGACCCAUACGACCACGUUUUCGUCUUCUGCUCCGCCGAACUCUGGAAUCUGAGAGGCAAGCCACUGAAUUGCACUACCCGACGACAUCCCGCCUACUUCACUCAACUGGCCUAUCCGCACUUCCCUCGGAGAUGGCCCACGCUGUUCUGGCACUGUGCUCGAUGACGAUGUGCCCGAACAUGUUCUCGACGAUUCCUCCGCAUAAUCUCUUGAUUUUGGCGCGCCAGCGUCGUGGAGAUCUCCGUCAGCGCCUGACGAAACGUAGCCGCAGUCAACGGCUCUGAAUCCUGCUCUUUAGCCCUAGUCGGCGCUCCCGACAAGCCAACUUCAGCAGCCGUUCCCGGCAUCUCCGUCAACGGACUCGUACGCUCCGUUCUCUCUUGAUUUUCUAAAGAGGCCUUAUCUAAUUCCUCACGACUCAACAUGGCACGUGUCUUCGGCAUGGCCCGACGCGACCGAACUUACGACACCCGUCCUAGUACACUUCUUGACUCGACACUAUCCGAAACGCACGAAGUCCUGAUCCCACUUCUGAUGUUGAAAGAUAAAUUCCUUCGUUUUAACUAGACUAAUUCUCUUUCUUAAAUUUCUACCCGAUUUCCUCUCUUCGUUGUAAAUAUCCCUAAUCGUCCCGAUGACCUUCAACGAUUCGAACUGCUGGACUAAGGACUUUCUGGGAACAUUAAUAAAGAGAUAAUUCCAAUGUCUCUGGACAAAUCACCAAGCGUUUAUUCUGUUCUACAAAUAUAUAAAGCGUUUCUCGCGAUUUAUACUAUGACUUCGUAC
Molecule: long non-coding RNA, 2636 nt
Organism: Odontomachus brunneus
Lineage: Eukaryota; Metazoa; Arthropoda; Insecta; Hymenoptera; Formicidae
Exons: 9
Source: RefSeq, a predicted model, not a curated record